RNAcentral lists this ribosomal RNA (413 nucleotides) under SAR11 cluster bacterium enrichment culture clone PSHTC-008. RNAcentral's name for it is "bacterial SSU rRNA". It matches the Rfam family "Bacterial small subunit ribosomal RNA", at positions 57 to 518 of the family's 1533-position model. The record is from RNAcentral. Lineage: Bacteria; Pseudomonadati; Pseudomonadota; Alphaproteobacteria; Candidatus Pelagibacterales.
GCAGUCGACGAAGUAGCAUACUUAGUGGCAGACGGGUGAGUAACAUGUGGGUAUCUACCCUUUGGCCUGGAAUAACACGAGGAAACUUGUGCUAAUACCGGAUAAGUCUUUACGGAGAAAGCUUUAUGCACCAUUGGAUGAGCCCGCACUUGAUUAGUUUGUUGGUAGGGUAAUGGCCUACCAAGACUAUGAUCAAUAGCUGAUUUGAGAGGAUGAUCAGCCACAUUGGGACUGAGACACGGCCCAAACUCCUACGGGAGGCAGCAGUGGGGAAUCUUGCACAAUGGAGGAAACUCUGAUGCAGCGAUGCCGCGUGAGUGAAGAAGGCCUUUGGGUUGUAAAGCUCUUUCGUCGGGGAAGAAAAUGACUGUACCCGAAUAAGAAGGUCCGGCUAACUUCGUGCCAGCCGCCGG